RNAcentral lists this unclassified non-coding RNA (296 nucleotides) under uncultured fungus. Its description in RNAcentral is "sequence contains ITS1, 5.8S rRNA gene". The stretch from base 248 to 296 matches the Rfam family "5.8S ribosomal RNA", at positions 1 to 49 of the family's 154-position model. Lineage: Eukaryota; Fungi. The record is from RNAcentral.
UUUCCGUAGGUGAACCUGCGGAAGGAUCAUUACAAGUUGAAACGGUUGCCCUCGCGGUGACCGGUUCUUCAAACCUCUGCGUACCAAACCUUUCAGUUGCCUCCGGCGGCCCUGGGCCGACGCGGCGCGCGACCUCCCCUUCGCGGGGGGGCCGCUCCUCGCGGCGGACCACCCGCCGGGCGGUCAUAAACAAAACCUUUUGUCGAGAUGGCAUCGUCUAAUUUCUUCAUAACAAAAUAUGAAAUACAACUUUUAACAAUGGAUCUCUUGGCUCCGGCAUCGAUGAAGAACGCAGC